GAGAGCUUGUGGUCCCUCCCUCAGGCAGGCUGGAGCCUCGCCGUCCUGCCAGGCUGGAGAAGGGGCUCCAGAAGCUUGGACCGGAACACGAAUGCGUCCUGGCUGCUAGAGAGUGUGUGGGACUCUGUCUCCUAGGCAUCCCCCAGAACAGGCCUUUUCUCUUGUUUUAAGUCUGCUCUGCUCUGGGGCGAGGAGAGCCUUCCCAAGAGAGAAGCUGGGGAAGGCACUCUGAAGCCUCCUCCAAUGGCAAGAGUUUUCCCAUCAGGGCAUCUGGCCUGACCCAGUAGGGGCAGAUGGAGAAUUAGGGAGAGAGGGACUGAGGCCAGUGGGAACCAUGGUGGGCUCAGUUAAACCUUGGGCGGGAGAAAGUGAUGCCAUGCAAAUGAAGAGGAGAGAAGAUAACCUUCUGAGGCCAGGACAGCUCCAGGAGGGCCAGGACCCUCCCUCCUCCUCCACCGAGCCCCCAGGCUCCUGGAGCCCCUCCCCCGCCGCCUUCCACCAUGGGCAGGGCUCCUCAGCACAGUCCCCGAUGCCGGCCCAAGCUCAUCGCCAUAUUAAGAAAGGAAAAAGGCUGAGCUAAAAAUAGGACCAGAUGAGUCGGAGCCGAAGCGCCCGGACUACAGGAAGAGACCCUGUGCUUCCCUUUCAAGAGCCAGGACCAAGGAUGAGGUCAUUCUCUGAAUAAAAAGAUGGAGCCUCGGCGGCCAGCGAGAAGGGCCGCCUGGCCCGGCCCCAGCCGCUUUCCUGUGCUUCACUCAACGCCCUCAGUCUGGACGCAGGGGCAGGACGGGGCGUGGGGCCAGGAGCGCUGGCCGGCGUCCACCCUGCAGAAAUCUGAUUUGGGGUUCCUCUCCACGGGGCCGAGCGGAGAAGGGCAAAGUCCUGAGUGCUGCCUCGGUUCGUGCUCAGCACAGCCUCGGAUCAAAGGGGACUCCGCUCUCUAGGGCACAGCGGGGAGGGGUGGAUCCAGGGGCUGGACCGGGCCGGAGGAGU
Lutra lutra (Eurasian river otter) is the source of this 993-nucleotide long non-coding RNA. RefSeq lists it as uncharacterized. The record is from RefSeq and is a predicted model, not a curated record. NCBI's taxonomy places the organism in Eukaryota, Metazoa, Chordata, Mammalia, Carnivora, Mustelidae. The transcript has 3 exons.